GACGAACGCUGGCGGCGUGCUUAACACAUGCAAGUCGAACGGAAAGGCCCUGCUUUUGUGGGGUGCUCGAGUGGCUAACGGGUGAGUAACACGUGAGUAACCUGCCCUUGACUUUGGGAUAACUUCAGGAAACUGGGGCUAAUACCGGAUAGGAGCUCCUGCUGCAUGGUGGGGGUUGGAAAGUUUCGGCGGUUGGGGAUGGACUCGCGGCUUAUCAGCUUGUUGGUGGGGUAGUGGCUUACCAAGGCUUUGACGGGUAGCCGGCCUGAGAGGGUGACCGGCCACAUUGGGACUGAGAUACGGCCCAGACUCAUACGGGAGGCAGCAGUGGGGAAUAUUGCACAAUGGGCGGAAGCCUGAUGCAGCAACGCCGCGUGCGGGAUGAAGGCCUUCGGGUUGUAAACCGCUUUCGCCUGUGACGAAGCGUGAGUGACGGUAAUGGGUAAAGAAGCACCGGCUAACUAAGUG
This 468-nucleotide ribosomal RNA is filed under the name uncultured bacterium. Its description in RNAcentral is "partial 16S ribosomal RNA". It matches the Rfam family "Bacterial small subunit ribosomal RNA", at positions 28 to 507 of the family's 1533-position model. The record is from RNAcentral.